GGUCAGGCGGAUACCCGCUAAUUUAACCAUAU
Molecule: ribosomal RNA, 32 nt
Filed under: Luffa graveolens
Lineage: Eukaryota; Viridiplantae; Streptophyta; Magnoliopsida; Cucurbitales; Cucurbitaceae
Description: partial 28S ribosomal RNA
Source: RNAcentral